Puccinia graminis f. sp. tritici is the source of this 106-nucleotide transfer RNA. It matches the Rfam family "tRNA". From Rfam's summary of the family: Transfer RNA (tRNA) molecules are approximately 80 nucleotides in length. Their secondary structure includes four short double-helical elements and three loops (D, anti-codon, and T loops). The record is from Rfam. NCBI's taxonomy places the organism in Eukaryota, Fungi, Basidiomycota, Pucciniomycetes, Pucciniales, Pucciniaceae.
GGCGACAUGGCCGAGUGGUCUAAGGCGCCGUCUUAAGGAGGUACCAGGGACGUCCUGACGGUAAUCCGGCGGUCUUCGGGCGUGGGUUCGAAUCCCACUGUCGUCA